Passer montanus (Eurasian tree sparrow) is the source of this 352-nucleotide long non-coding RNA. RefSeq lists it as uncharacterized. The record is from RefSeq and is a predicted model, not a curated record. Lineage: Eukaryota; Metazoa; Chordata; Aves; Passeriformes; Passeridae. The transcript is spliced from 3 exons.
CGAACACGCAGCCGCCCGGAUUAGCAGCAUUAGCAGCCAGCGCCGAGCAACAAUUAAUCAUUUGCUGGAGCAAUGCCUGUGAUUUUCCUGUACUCCACUACAUCUCAACAGGUUCUGGAAGACAGCCACUACUGACUCUGAGACUGCUGUAGCCAAAUUUGAUAUGACAGCCCCUCCUGGAGCAGAGGAAGAUGAGGGGCUCAGAGAAAUAAGGCUGGUGUAUCAUGAGUUUGCUGCAGUUGAAGAAGAAGGUUAAGGGGCAGGUUGUAGGUUGACAAUUGAUUAGGAGAUGCCAGAGGCAAGGAAAUGCAGGAGAGCUCUUUUCCCCACAGUUGUACUUGUUGUAACGGCA